AGCUCGAAGAGCGUCUGUUAAUGUUGCUGCGCUUGAAACGCUCGUCGUUGGAUCUCUGGCAAUUGCCUGCGGACACCUUUAUGGUGAUACCGUAGGAAAGUGCCUUUUUGUAUCUAUUCGUCGUAGAUGCACUUAAUUGUGUGUCACGUUCGAGAGCCACUUUCACUUUGGAGAAAUCAGUGUGCUCAUCACAGGCUUAUGCCUGCAUAUAACUGCAUGGGAUGAUGAAAUUGGGCCUUUGACUCGUUUCGUUGGUUUUCGAUUGCAGAGGCCAUGAUUAAUCGGGACAGACGGGGGCAUUCGUACUGCGUCGAUAGAAGUGAAAUUCGAUGACCGCCGUAAGACGAACAAUCGCGAAAGCAUUUGCCAAGAAUGUUUUCA
This 381-nucleotide ribosomal RNA is filed under the name uncultured eukaryote. RNAcentral describes it as "SSU rRNA". It matches the Rfam family "Eukaryotic small subunit ribosomal RNA", at positions 587 to 972 of the family's 1831-position model. The record is from RNAcentral.